GGUCUCAUGGCCGAGUGGCUAGGCACGGGUCUGCAAAACCCUUUACGGCGGUUCGAAUCCGCCUGAGACCU
This 71-nucleotide transfer RNA is filed under the name Bacteroidota bacterium. RNAcentral's name for it is "tRNA-Cys". It matches the Rfam family "tRNA". From Rfam's summary of the family: Transfer RNA (tRNA) molecules are approximately 80 nucleotides in length. Their secondary structure includes four short double-helical elements and three loops (D, anti-codon, and T loops). Further hydrogen bonds mediate the characteristic L-shaped molecular structure. tRNAs have two regions of fundamental functional importance: the anti-codon, which is responsible for specific mRNA codon recognition, and the 3' end, to which the tRNAs corresponding amino acid is attached (by aminoacyl-tRNA synthetases). tRNAs cope with the degeneracy of the genetic code in two manners: having more than one tRNA (with a specific anti-codon) for a particular amino acid; and 'wobble' base-pairing, i.e. permitting non-standard base-pairing at the 3rd anti-codon position. The record is from RNAcentral. Lineage: Bacteria; Pseudomonadati; Bacteroidota.